This 514-nucleotide ribosomal RNA is filed under the name uncultured bacterium. RNAcentral describes it as "bacterial SSU rRNA". It matches the Rfam family "Bacterial small subunit ribosomal RNA", at positions 15 to 518 of the family's 1533-position model. The record is from RNAcentral.
GAUCAUGGCUCAGGAUGAACGCUAGCGACAGGCCUAACACAUGCAAGGUCGAGGGGCAGCGCGGAGUAGCAAUACGUUGGCGGCGACCGGCGCGACGGGUGAGUAACACGUAUGCAACCAACCCAGUAACAGGGGGAUAACCCGGAGAAAUCCGGACUAAUACCGCAUAAGACCACGAUAUCGCAUGAUAUAGAGGUCAAAUAUUUAUAGGUUAUGGACGGGCAUGCGUCUGAUUAGCUGGUUGGCGGGGUAACGGCCCACCAAGGCAUCGAUCAGUAGGGGUUCUGAGAGGAAGGUCCCCCACAUUGGAACUGAGACACGGUCCAAACUCCUACGGGAGGCAGCAGUGAGGAAUAUUGGUCAAUGGGCGAAAGCCUGAACCAGCCAUGUCGCGUGAAGGAAUGAAGGUCCUAUGGAUUGUAAAUUUCUUUUGCAGGAGGGUAAAGUGAGCUACGUGUAGUUCAUUGCAAGUACCCUGCGAAUAAGCAUCGGCUAACUCCGUGCCAGCAGCGGC